This 194-nucleotide unclassified non-coding RNA is filed under the name uncultured Leotiomycetes. RNAcentral's name for it is "sequence contains ITS1". Lineage: Eukaryota; Fungi; Ascomycota; Leotiomycetes. The record is from RNAcentral.
CAGAACCAAGAGAUCCGUUGUUGAAAGUUUUAACUAUUAUAUAGUACUCAGACAUCACUAACAUUCAGAGUUUGGUCCUCCGGCAGGCACAUGCAGGCAGAGCCCACAGUGGGAGACCACGGCCUGCCAAAGCAACAAGAGUAUGUAGACACGGAUGGGGUAUACCCGAGGGUAUCCUUUUAUUAAUGAUCCUU